Molecule: unclassified non-coding RNA, 348 nt
Filed under: soil metagenome
Description: partial contains 5.8S ribosomal RNA, internal transcribed spacer 2, and large subunit ribosomal RNA
Rfam family: 5.8S ribosomal RNA (bases 1-120)
Source: RNAcentral
GAUGAAGAACGCAGCGAAAUGCGAUAAGUAAUGUGAAUUGCAGAAUUCAGUGAAUCAUCGAAUCUUUGAACGCACAUUGCGCCCGCCAGUAUUCUGGCGGGCAAGCCUGUCUGAGCGUCAUUUCAACCCUCAUGCCCCUAGGGCGUGGUGUUGGGGAUCGGCCAAAGCCCGCGAGGGACGGCCGGCCCCUAAAUCUAGUGGCGGACCCGUCGUGGCCUCCUCUGCGAAGUAGUGAUAUUCCGCAUCGGAGAGCGAUGAGCCCCUGCCGUUAAACCCCCAACUUUCCAAGGUUGACCUCAGAUCAGGUAGGAAUACCCGCUGAACUUAAGCAUAUCAAUAAGCGGAGGA